UGGGUAACCUGCCCGGAAGUGGGGAAUACCUCGGGGAAACUCGAGCUAAUACCGCAUGACAUCUUUAGGACGAAAGUCCUGACGAUCAAAGCGGGGUCGCAAGAUCUCGCGCUACCGGAUGGGCCCGCGCCCGAUUAGCUAGUUGGUGAGGUAACGGCUUACCAAGGCUUCGACGGGUAGCCGGCCUGAGAGGGCGACCGGCCACC
RNAcentral lists this ribosomal RNA (206 nucleotides) under uncultured bacterium. Its description in RNAcentral is "partial 16S ribosomal RNA". It matches the Rfam family "Bacterial small subunit ribosomal RNA", at positions 118 to 311 of the family's 1533-position model. The record is from RNAcentral.